RNAcentral lists this ribosomal RNA (744 nucleotides) under uncultured bacterium. Its description in RNAcentral is "bacterial SSU rRNA". It matches the Rfam family "Bacterial small subunit ribosomal RNA", at positions 8 to 796 of the family's 1533-position model. The record is from RNAcentral.
AGAGUUUGAUCAUGGCUCAGAGCGAACGCUGGCGGCAGGCUUAACACAUGCAAGUCGAGCGGGCGUAGCAAUACGUCAGCGGCAGACGGGUGAGUAACGCGUGGGAACAUACCUUUUGGUUCGGAACAACCCAGGGAAACUUGGGCUAAUACCGGAUAAGCCCUUACGGGGAAAGCUUUAUCGCCGAAAGAUUGGCCCGCGUCUGAUUAGCUAGUUGGUGAGGUAAUGGCUCACCAAGGCGACGAUCAGUAGCUGGUCUGAGAGGAUGAUCAGCCACAUUGGGACUGAGACACGGCCCAAACUCCUACGGGAGGCAGCAGUGGGGAAUAUUGGACAAUGGGCGCAAGCCUGAUCCAGCCAUGCCGCGUGAGUGAUGAAGGCCCUAGGGUUGUAAAGCUCUUUUGUGCGGGAAGAUAAUGACGGUACCGCAAGAAUAAGCCCCGGCUAACUUCGUGCCAGCAGCCGCGGUAAUACGAAGGGGGCUAGCGUUGCUCGGAAUCACUGGGCGUAAAGGGUGCGUAGGCGGGUCUUUAAGUCAGGGGUGAAAUCCUGGAGCUCAACUCCAGAACUGCCUUUGAUACUGAAGAUCUUGAGUUCGGGAGAGGUGAGUGGAACUGCGAGUGUAGAGGUGAAAUUCGUAGAUAUUCGCAAGAACACCAGUGGCGAAGGCGGCUCACUGGCCCGAUACUGACGCUGAGGCACGAAAGCGUGGGGAGCAAACAGGAUUAGAUACCCUAGUAGUCC